RNAcentral lists this ribosomal RNA (220 nucleotides) under uncultured bacterium. RNAcentral describes it as "partial 16S ribosomal RNA". It matches the Rfam family "Bacterial small subunit ribosomal RNA", at positions 1281 to 1500 of the family's 1533-position model. The record is from RNAcentral.
GACCAUCCCAGUUCGGAUUGCAGGCUGCAACCCGCCUGUAUGAAGUUGGAAUCGCUAGUAAUCGCGGAUCAGCAUGCCGCGGUGAAUACGUUCCCGGGCCUUGUACACACCGCCCGUCACACCAUGAGAGUCGGGAACACCCGAAGUCCGUAGCCUAACCGCAAGGAGGGCGCGGCCGAAGGUGGGUUCGAUAAUUGGGGUGAAGUCGUAACAAGGUAGC